This 251-nucleotide ribosomal RNA is filed under the name uncultured Flavobacterium sp. RNAcentral's name for it is "partial 16S ribosomal RNA". It matches the Rfam family "Bacterial small subunit ribosomal RNA", at positions 1 to 260 of the family's 1533-position model. The record is from RNAcentral. Lineage: Bacteria; Pseudomonadati; Bacteroidota; Flavobacteriia; Flavobacteriales; Flavobacteriaceae.
CGCUGAGUUUGAUCCUGGCUCAGGAUGAACGCUAGCGGCAGGCUUAACACAUGCAAGUCGAGGGGUAUAGUUCUUCGGAGUUAGAGACCGGCGCACGGGUGCGUAACGCGUAUGCAAUCUACCUUCACAGAGGGAUAGCCCAGAGAAAUUUGGAUUAAUACCUCAUAGUAUGUGAGAAUCGCAUGGUUUUCACAUUAAAGUUCCAACGGUAAAAGAUGAGCAUGCGUCCCAUUAGCUAGUUGGUAAGGUAA